AGUCAUGUGGUAUAGUGGUAAAUACGUCCACGUGACACGUGGGAGACGUCGGUUCGAAUCCGACCAUGACUC
RNAcentral lists this transfer RNA (72 nucleotides) under Dreissena polymorpha. It matches the Rfam family "tRNA". Rfam says of the family: Transfer RNA (tRNA) molecules are approximately 80 nucleotides in length. Their secondary structure includes four short double-helical elements and three loops (D, anti-codon, and T loops). Further hydrogen bonds mediate the characteristic L-shaped molecular structure. tRNAs have two regions of fundamental functional importance: the anti-codon, which is responsible for specific mRNA codon recognition, and the 3' end, to which the tRNAs corresponding amino acid is attached (by aminoacyl-tRNA synthetases). tRNAs cope with the degeneracy of the genetic code in two manners: having more than one tRNA (with a specific anti-codon) for a particular amino acid; and 'wobble' base-pairing, i.e. permitting non-standard base-pairing at the 3rd anti-codon position. Lineage: Eukaryota; Metazoa; Mollusca; Bivalvia; Myida; Dreissenidae. The record is from Rfam by way of RNAcentral.